This 465-nucleotide ribosomal RNA is filed under the name uncultured Klebsiella sp. Its description in RNAcentral is "bacterial SSU rRNA". It matches the Rfam family "Bacterial small subunit ribosomal RNA", at positions 338 to 795 of the family's 1533-position model. The record is from RNAcentral. Lineage: Bacteria; Pseudomonadati; Pseudomonadota; Gammaproteobacteria; Enterobacterales; Enterobacteriaceae.
CCUACGGGUGGCAGCAGUGGGGAAUAUUGCACAAUGGGCGCAAGCCUGAUGCAGCCAUGCCGCGUGUGUGAAGAAGGCCUUCGGGUUGUAAAGCACUUUCAGCGGGGAGGAAGGCGGUGAGGUUAAUAACCUCAUCGAUUGACGUUACCCGCAGAAGAAGCACCGGCUAACUCCGUGCCAGCAGCCGCGGUAAUACGGAGGGUGCAAGCGUUAAUCGGAAUUACUGGGCAUAAAGCGCACGCAGGCGGUCUGUCAAGUCGGAUGUGAAAUCCCCGGGCUCAACCUGGGAACUGCAUUCGAAACUGGCAGGCUAGAGUCUUGUAGAGGGGGGUAGAAUUCCAGGUGUAGCGGUGAAAUGCGUAGAGAUCUGGAGGAAUACCGGUGGCGAAGGCGGCCCCCUGGACAAAGACUGACGCUCAGGUGCGAAAGCGUGGGGAGCGAACAGGAUUAGAUACCCCAGUAGUC